UAUUUUUUCCAUCUCAAUUUUCUCUUUUUUUUUUCCUAUCUUCUCAUUUUCUCUUCCUCCCUCCUCUCCAAAUUUCAUAGCAAAGGAAGUUGAGGGUUUUAUCAUCCAAGUCUUUGUGGGCGGAUGAUUUCUAGCUAAAGGAGCUCAAUUUCAAGAUUCAAUCAUCAAGGUUAAUAGCAUGAGCAGUUCGAGGAGCACCGUCACAGUAGGACUUCCAACAUCUCUUUCAGGGUAUCGUACCAUAUCUUAGUGAG
Hibiscus syriacus is the source of this 254-nucleotide long non-coding RNA. RefSeq lists it as uncharacterized. The transcript has 3 exons. Lineage: Eukaryota; Viridiplantae; Streptophyta; Magnoliopsida; Malvales; Malvaceae. The record is from RefSeq and is a predicted model, not a curated record.